CUACUUUGCAGCUGUAUUGAGCCCUGCCGUGAUAAUGAGUGGAUCAAAGAAACGAGAAGUCGACAGUGACUGUCGAGUGUUUCAGAAUGGAAUCCAUGAAGGGGAAAACACGUGGAGAGGACUGUAGGGUCUGACAGGAUGUCUGGGGUCAUCCAGAGGAUGAAGCUGCCGUGGUGGAAACUCGCCAAUGUCACCACCAAUGUCAUCGCCAAACUUGACAGGAAAAACUUCGGGCUGCUGAAAAGAAUCCAGGAUAAGGUGAGGGAGGAAAACCCUGAGCUAGAUGUGAUUUUCCUACACUGCUUAAUCCACCAGGAAGCGCUCUGUAAGUCUGUUAUGCAUCUUGAUCAUGUCGUGAAGCCAGUCGUAAAACUCGUUACCUUUAUACCAGUGAGAGGGCUUCAGCAUCAUCAGUUCAUUAAGUUUCUUGAAGAAACUGAUGCUGAUCACCAGGACUUGCUUUACCACUCUCAUGUCUGCUGGUUAGGUUUGGGGAAAGUAUGUCAGCGAGUGUGGGAGCUCAAAGGCGAGAUGAGCUCAUUUUUGAAGUUAAUGGGGAAAACUGAUGAUUUUUCUGAGCUGCGCGACAGAGAUUGGCUGUGAUUUUGCUUUUGCCGUGGACAUACUGACACACAUGAAUGAGCUGAACGUGAAGCUGCAAAGGAAAGAUCAAUUUGAAAUGUACACAAAUGUGACAAGCCAAACUGACUUUAUUCUCAAGACAAAUGUCAAAACAAUCCUUCGCUCAUUUCCCUACACUGGCGAUGCUGACAGAGCCAGUGGACAUGUGAUGAAAUAUAAGGAAUCACUAGAAGACCUACACGGAGAAUUCUGCCGUCGGUUCUCCGAUUUUGAAAAAAUUAACAAGACACUUUAGCUGGUAUCAUGUCCUUUGUCACAAGACCCAGAAACAGCACCUCAGGAGUUGCAUUUGGAACUGAUCGAUCUUCAAAGUGACUCGGUCUUAAAGGAGAAGUUCAGCUCCCUUAAACUGAAUGACUUUCACGCCUCACUAAGUGAAGCCAAGUUUCCAAACAUUGGGAAGAUGGCACAGAGGAUGCUGGUGUUGUUUGGAUCUACCUACGUGUGUGAGUUGACGUUUAGCGUGAUGAACAUCAACAAAGCACACCUCAGAUCCAUCCUGAGAAUCGCCACAACCAGACUGACACCAGACUUUGAUGCACUGGCAAGAAAAAGGUGACCAACAACACUGUUCCCACUGAAAUUGAAUCUGGAGCACAGUGGACACCACCUUCAACAUCCCUGCAGGAGGGAAGAGCAAAGCAGAUUUCAGCUUGUCUUUACGACACCUAAUCUCUCCUCCUCGGUGAAGCCCAUGAUCUCCAUGGCCUCCAGAGUCUCAUCAAACAUCUCGUCAUCCUGCUGACCAGAGAUCUCCACGUGACCUGCCACCAGGAAACGGUAGCUGCUGAAGUCCUCCAGGAGAAGCUCCUCUACAAGUACAAACACACAAAGCAUUCUGAUCAGAGGACAUUUGAAGUGAAUUACCCAGACCUUAACUUGAAGUCCUUAUUUCAACUUAAAAUUGAUGAUUGACGUUAUGGGGAUUUCUCCUUAUGCCCUAAAGGGAGGCAAACCUGCAUGAUGUGGCACAAAGUGUAAACAGAUUUAUGUCUGUAUGACCUUUGAAAAAUUUAUUUCAUAGUUGAUGACACCUGGUUAAAAAACUUUCACAUAAUCAGAUUAAUGUUAAGAAUGUGCAACUUCCUAUCUGACAAUAAGUCAUCUGCUCAGACUCUCCCUAAGAAGGAGUGGAGAAAAGCUACAUGUGCAACACAUUUUCCUCUAAAAAUAAAGCUCUGACUGACUUUAA
Long non-coding RNA from Acanthochromis polyacanthus (spiny chromis), 1834 nucleotides. RefSeq lists it as uncharacterized. The record is from RefSeq and is a predicted model, not a curated record. The transcript is spliced from 3 exons. Lineage: Eukaryota; Metazoa; Chordata; Actinopteri; Pomacentridae.